AUUGAACGCUGGCGGCAGGCCUAACACAUGCAAGUCGAGCGGAUGAAGGGAGCUUGCUCCUGGAUUCAGCGGCGGACGGGCGAGUAAUGCCUAGGAAUCUGCCUGGUAGUGGGGGAUAACGUCCGGAAACGGGCGCUAAUACCGCAUACGUCCUGAGGGAGAACGUGGGGGAUCUUCGGACCUCACGCUAUCAGAUGAGCCUAGGUCGGAUUAGCUAGUUGGUGGGGUAAAGGCCUACCAAGGCGACGAUCCGUAACUGGUCUGAGAGGAUGAUCAGUCACACUGGAACUGAGACACGGUCCAGACUCCUACGGGAGGCAGCAGUGGGGAAUAUUGGACAAUGGGCGAAAGCCUGAUCCAGCCAUGCCGCGUGUGUGAAGAAGGUCUUCGGAUUGUAAAGCACUUUAAGUUGGGAGGAAGGGCAGUAAGUUAAUACCUUGCUGUUUUGACGUUACCAACAGAAUAAGCACCGGCUAACUUCGUG
This 484-nucleotide ribosomal RNA is filed under the name uncultured bacterium. RNAcentral's name for it is "partial 16S ribosomal RNA". It matches the Rfam family "Bacterial small subunit ribosomal RNA", at positions 30 to 507 of the family's 1533-position model. The record is from RNAcentral.